CUAUGAUUGUUUUUACUAACAAUUAGACUGAAGUUGUAGAUGUGGAAGAAGAGACAGGGACCGUGAUCAUGGGCUACAUUCUCCGUACCAGCUUCAUAGCUCCAGUGAGAAAAUAAAUUCCUGCAUCCAGGAGAUGUGGAGUAAGAGAUACAGCUGCCCUUGACCAUAUUUCUUACUUCCGAGAAGAUCGUAGCAGUAAUUCAGAAUCUCAUCCAGGAUACCUCAUCACAGGCUGGAGUGCAGUGUCAUGAGCUUGGCUCACUACAGCCUCCAUCUUCUGUGCUUAAGGAUCCUUCCCUCUCAACCUCCAAGGUAGCUGAGACUACAGGUAUGUGCCACCAUGCUGGACUAAUUUAUUGUUGUUGUUGUUGUUUGUUAGAUUUUUGGUAGAGGCAAGGUUUCACCAUGUUGCCCAGGCCAGAGUCAAACUCCUGGGCUCAAGUGAUAUUUAUUUUGUUAUAGAGAUGGGGUCUUAAUGUGGUGCCCAGGCUAGUCUGGGAUUACAGGUGUGAGCCACUGUGCCUUGCCAAAAACUGCCAUUCUCAUCAUAUCGUACCAAGAGUACAAACUCAACAAGGGUACAAACUGUCAACCAGAGUAGACAUUCAUUAUUGGCAGAAUGUCUACAAAUUCCUUUAAACCUUCACCAUAAACAUGUGCCUACUCUCUUCCAAUUAUUUCAUGUGUAUUAAUUUAUUCAUUUAUACAUGCAUCUUUUAUUUAUAUCAUUAUCUAAAUAUGGAGAUUUAUUUUACAAUGCGUAUGUGCUAUUUUUUUUUUUUUGAGAC
This 788-nucleotide long non-coding RNA is filed under the name Homo sapiens (human). RNAcentral's name for it is "HSALNT0379898". The record is from RNAcentral. Lineage: Eukaryota; Metazoa; Chordata; Mammalia; Primates; Hominidae.